RNAcentral lists this ribosomal RNA (407 nucleotides) under uncultured bacterium. Its description in RNAcentral is "partial 16S ribosomal RNA". It matches the Rfam family "Bacterial small subunit ribosomal RNA", at positions 355 to 755 of the family's 1533-position model. The record is from RNAcentral.
UGGGGAAUAUUGCACAAUGGGCGCAAGCCUGAUGCAGCCAUGCCGCGUGUGUGAAGAAGGCCUUCGGGUUGUAAAGCACUUUCAGCGAGGAGGAAGGUGGUGAGCUUAAUACGCUCAUCAAUUGACGUUACUCGCAGAAGAAGCACCGGCUAACUCCGUGCCAGCAGCCGCGGUAAUACGGAGGGUGCAAGCGUUAAUCGGAAUUACUGGGCGUAAAGCGCACGCAGGCGGUUUGUUAAGUCAGAUGUGAAAUCCCCGGGCUCAACCUGGGAACUGCAUUUGAAACUGGCAAGCUAGAUCUCGUAGAGGGGGUAGAAUUCCAGGUGUAGCAGGUGAAAUGCGUAGAGAUCUGGAGGAAUACCGGUGGCGAAGGCGGCCCCCUGGACGAAGACUGACGCUCAGGUGCG